RNAcentral lists this ribosomal RNA (305 nucleotides) under uncultured bacterium. RNAcentral describes it as "bacterial SSU rRNA". It matches the Rfam family "Bacterial small subunit ribosomal RNA", at positions 330 to 655 of the family's 1533-position model. The record is from RNAcentral.
CCCUCCCUCCCCGACGCCUCAGUAGGGAAUAUUGCUCAAUGGGGCCAACCCUUCCUCCUCCCCUCCUCUUUUCUUCUUCCUUUUUUCGGAUUGUAAACUCCUUUUGUUAUAUAAGAUAAUGACGGUAUCUAACGAAUAAGCACCGGCUAACUCCUUGCCAGCAGCCGCGGUAAUACGGAGGGUGCAAGCGUUACUCGGAAUCACUGGGCGUAAAGAGCGCGUAGGCGGGAUAGCAAGUCAGAUGUGAAAUCCUAUGGCUUAACCAUAGAACUGCAUUUGAAUCUGUUAUUCUAGAGUAUGGGAGA